RNAcentral lists this ribosomal RNA (497 nucleotides) under uncultured bacterium. RNAcentral's name for it is "partial 16S ribosomal RNA". It matches the Rfam family "Bacterial small subunit ribosomal RNA", at positions 28 to 507 of the family's 1533-position model. The record is from RNAcentral.
GAUGAACGCUGGCGGCGUGCCUAAUACAUGCAAGUCGAGCGAACGGACGAGAAGCUUGCUUCUCUGAUGUUAGCGGCGGACGGGUGAGUAACACGUGGAUCACCUACCUAUAAGACUGGGAUAACUUCGGGAAACCGGCGCUAAUACCGGAUAAUAUUUUGAACCGCAUGGUUCAAAAGUGAGAGACGGUCUUGCUGUCUCUUCUAGAUGGAUCCGCGCUGCAUUAGCUAGUUGGUAAGGUAACGGCUUACCAAGGCAACGAUGCAUAGCCGACCUGAGAGGGUGAUCGGCCACACUGGAGCUGAGACACGGUCCAGACUCCUACGAGAGGCAGCAGUAGGGAAUCUUCCGCAAUGGGCGAAAGCCUGACGGAGCAACGCCGCGUGAGUGAUGAAGGUCUUCGGAUCGUAAAACUCUGUUAUUAGGGAAGAACAUAUGUGUAAGUAACUGUGCACAUCUUGACGGUACCUAAUCAGAAAGCCACGGCUAACUACGUG